Molecule: transfer RNA, 57 nt
Filed under: Bombus asiaticus
Lineage: Eukaryota; Metazoa; Arthropoda; Insecta; Hymenoptera; Apidae
Description: tRNA-Ser
Source: RNAcentral
GAAAUAAACUAAUAAAGCUUCUAACUUUAACUAUAGAUAUAAAAUAUCUUUAUUUCU